Long non-coding RNA from Dama dama (fallow deer), 431 nucleotides. RefSeq lists it as uncharacterized. The record is from RefSeq and is a predicted model, not a curated record. NCBI's taxonomy places the organism in Eukaryota, Metazoa, Chordata, Mammalia, Artiodactyla, Cervidae. The transcript has 5 exons.
AUCUGGCCAUUCCUGAGUUAUACCUUUUGAGAGACAAGCUAGUAACCCAGCCUGCCAGUCAGUGGAUUCUCUGGGCUCUGGUCCUAGUCUUUAACCUAUAUUCAACUGGAUGGCAAGAAGUAGUUUGCUCAGAAGUCUCACUGAGUACAUCCUCCUCAUCUCCUAAAAGCUUGGGUGAAAUGUCUGUGCCUAGGCAAGUCCGGAGCAGGGUUGCUGGGAUGAGAUCGAAGCGUGACCCUGCUCGUACCUGUUGACCAACUCAUAGAGUCAGCACAGCAUCUGCUCUGUCCUCCUGAGACUCCGUUCACUUACCAGAAGAGACGCGCACGAAGAGCUUCAUUGAAUUACUGAAGAUGAGGGUUUAUGUUAGUGAAGUGACUUUUGGAAAGCCCCAAGGGAUGAAUGCUAUUCACUAGAGGAACCAACUGGCU